AAGUCGUAACAAGGUUUCCGUAGGUGAACCUGCGGAAGGAUCAUUAAAGAGACGUUGCCCUUCGGGGUAUACCUCCCACCCUUUGUUUAUUUAUACCUUUGUUGCUUUGGCAGACCCGGCUUCGGCCCACCGGCUCCGGCUGGUCAGUGUCUGCCAGAGGACCUAAAACUCUGUUUGUUAAUAUUGUCUGAGUACUAUAUAAUAGUUAAAACUUUCAACAACGGAUCUCUUGGUUCUGGCAUCGAUGAAGAACGCAGCGAAAUGCGAUAAGUAAUGUGAAUUGCAGAAUUCAGUGAAUCAUCGAAUCUUUGAACGCACAUUGCGCCCCCUGGUAUUCCGGGGGGCAUGCCUGUUCGAGCGUCAUUUAUACCAAUCUAGCCCGGCUAGGUGUUGGGCUUCGCCGUCUGGCGGGCCUUAAAAUCAGUGGCGGUGCUUCCAGGCUCUACGCGUAGUAAUUUUCUCGCUAUAGGGUCCUGGGAGACGCUGGCCAACAACCCCAAAUUUUCUAUGGUUGACCUCGGAUCAGGUAGGGAUACCCGCUGAACUUAA
RNAcentral lists this ribosomal RNA (549 nucleotides) under Ascomycota sp. S-21. RNAcentral's name for it is "eukaryotic LSU rRNA". The stretch from base 210 to 363 matches the Rfam family "5.8S ribosomal RNA". Lineage: Eukaryota; Fungi; Ascomycota. The record is from RNAcentral.